GCAAAAGCCGUCACCUUAGCCUUUCUUUCUGUAAAAAAAUACUUGCUCGCUCGCAUACGAGGUGGUUUCCUAGACAAUAAAAAAAGGGCAAGUUCGUUAGACAAUUCCAAAACCGACGAUUUGGCGCUACUGGCGGUAGUUGUGGUGGUGAUACAUUCUCCUCCUUUCCCUCUUCCUCUAGUCUGUCAUCACGGUGGCGUUUGUGGUGACCGUGACGGGCAAGGCGGUGGUGGUUAUUCGUCGAAUCAAAAAAACACAAAGAAAAGAAGAAGAAGAAGAAG
This 281-nucleotide unclassified non-coding RNA is filed under the name Hevea brasiliensis (rubber tree). The record is from RNAcentral. Lineage: Eukaryota; Viridiplantae; Streptophyta; Magnoliopsida; Malpighiales; Euphorbiaceae.